ACCUGGCUGGCUGAGUCAGUAGAGCAUGAGACUCUUGAUUUCAGAGCCAUGAGUUUGAGCCCCAUGUUGGGUA
This 73-nucleotide transfer RNA is filed under the name Felis catus (domestic cat). It matches the Rfam family "tRNA". Rfam says of the family: Transfer RNA (tRNA) molecules are approximately 80 nucleotides in length. Their secondary structure includes four short double-helical elements and three loops (D, anti-codon, and T loops). The record is from Rfam by way of RNAcentral. Lineage: Eukaryota; Metazoa; Chordata; Mammalia; Carnivora; Felidae.